RNAcentral lists this long non-coding RNA (694 nucleotides) under Bos mutus (wild yak). Its description in RNAcentral is "lncRNA (ENSBMUG00000011604.1)". The stretch from base 516 to 644 matches the Rfam family "CDKN2B antisense RNA 1 convserved region 3". The record is from RNAcentral. Lineage: Eukaryota; Metazoa; Chordata; Mammalia; Artiodactyla; Bovidae.
CUACCCCGCCACCUUCCCACCCAGCGCGCGGGAGCGCCACGCGGUGACAGCUCCGGGUCCUGACGCCACAACGCAUCUCCAGGCAGCCCGCCCCCCUCGCAACAUCCGUCACCUGACCCGGCCAUAUCAGGAACCGCCACGGUCCGGCUCCCGUCUCUGCUUCCCUGACCCCCUUCCUUUAUUCCUCGCGCCCCUCGCUGGGGUGGGGAGGUCCUCCCUUUCUUCAAACCGGAUUAUUUAAAAAACAAAAAGAAAAAAAAAACGCAAAGUCAUCUCCUGGCUCUAUCCGCCAUUCACGAGGCUGGAUGUCAGUUUUUGAAAGAAAUGGCGCUACGCUCCACUUCUAGAUUUGGGAAACCAGCGGAAUUAAAGGAAACUGCUGCGACAUCUGGACACUGCGUGGCGCUGGCGCCGCUGGAGCGGCGGGCCCCGCUCCGGACCAGGUGCCCAGUUUGGUAAGAUGUCCUGUGAGAACCUGAAGUGUGAAGGAGCUGAAAGCAGUCAUUCUCUCUUUUGAUGAGAGGAAGAAUAGCUUCAUUCUGAAUCAAUGAAAAGACUUCUGUCUUCUUGCCAGCAGAUAUAUGUUAUCUUCACUUAUAGAAUUGAAAGUGUACCUCAAAGGAGCAUUCUCUUGGGAAGAAAGGUAAUGAGAUAAAAGAGAAUGAAUGUUUUUAAAAUCAUGGACACCUAGGAU